This is a non-coding RNA of Podarcis lilfordi (Lilford's wall lizard), 76 nucleotides long. NCBI's taxonomy places the organism in Eukaryota, Metazoa, Chordata, Lepidosauria, Squamata, Lacertidae. The record is from the annotation of a GenBank genome assembly.
GCCCUGAGGCAUAGCUCAGUUGGUAGAGCAUGAGAUGCUUAAUCUCAGGGUUCUGGGUUCAGCCCCACAUUGGGUG